Molecule: unclassified non-coding RNA, 29 nt
Filed under: Leishmania tarentolae
Lineage: Eukaryota; Euglenozoa; Kinetoplastea; Trypanosomatida; Trypanosomatidae
Description: guide RNA
Source: RNAcentral
AAUUAUAACGGUAAAUAGAGAGAGCAUUA